ACUCAAAGGAAUUGACGGGGGCUCACACAAGCGGUGGAGCAUGUGGAUUAAUUCGAAGCAACGCGCAGAACCUUACCUGGGUUUGACAUGUUUGGAUGUCUUUCUGGAAACAGAGGAGAUUGCCUCCUUCGGGAGGUGAAACUUACACAGGUGCUGCAUGGCUGUCGUCAGCUCGUGUCGUGAGAUGUUGGGUUAAGUCCUUAAACGAGCGAAACCCUUACUGUUAGUUACCAUCAGGUUAAGCUGGGGACUCUAACAGGACUGCCGGUGUUAAACCGGAGGAAGGCGGGGAUGACGUCAAGUCCUCAUGGCCUUUAUGCCCAGGGCUUCACACGUGCUACAAUGGCAAUGACAGAGCGAAGCAAUACCGUGAGGUGGAGCAAAUCGCAUAAACAUUGCCUCAGUUCGGAUUGCAGGCUGACAACUCGCCUGCAUGAAGUUGGAAUCGCUAGUAAUCGCGUAUCAGCUAUGACGCGGUGAAUAUGUUCCUGAGCCUUGUACACACCGCCCGU
This 512-nucleotide ribosomal RNA is filed under the name uncultured bacterium. RNAcentral's name for it is "bacterial SSU rRNA". It matches the Rfam family "Bacterial small subunit ribosomal RNA", at positions 899 to 1397 of the family's 1533-position model. The record is from RNAcentral.